AAGACCUUGCGCUUUUGGAGCGGCCGAUGCCUGAUUAGCUUGUUGGUAAGGUAAAAGCUUACCAAGGCUUCGAUCAGUAGCUGGUCUGAGAGGACGACCAGCCACACUGGGACUGAGACACGGCCCAGACUCCUACGGGAGGCGGCAGUGGGGAAUUUUGGACAAUGGGGGCAACCCUGAUCCAGCCAUGCCGCGUGAGUGAAGAAGGCCUUCGGGUUGUAAAGCUCUUUCAGCCGGAACGAAACGGUUACGGUUAAUACCCAUGACUACUGACGGUACCGGAAGAAGAAGCACCGGCUAACUACGUGCCAGCAGCCGCGGUAAUACGUAGGGUGCGAGCGUUAAUCGGAAUUACUGGGCGUAAAGCGUGCGCAGGUGGUUUUGUAAGUCAGAUGUGAAAGCCCCGGGCUCAACCUGGGAACU
Molecule: ribosomal RNA, 423 nt
Filed under: uncultured bacterium
Lineage: Bacteria
Description: bacterial SSU rRNA
Rfam family: Bacterial small subunit ribosomal RNA
Source: RNAcentral